GUAUUGUAUUGCGUUAAACGCGUCAUGCAUUCCACAAAACUUUAUUACAGUGUGUGUGUAAAGACAUAGAACCACGGCGAGAGGACAGAGCCCCUCGGACCACAGAACUACAGAGGGUGCACAGGUGUGAGUGGAUGUGUGAACAGAGCGUGCACAUGCCCCCGUUUGAGGACCAGCAACAACUCGUGUUGACAAUUCGGUAAUGAUCCUUCCGCAGGUUCACCUACGGAAA
Molecule: unclassified non-coding RNA, 232 nt
Filed under: uncultured fungus
Lineage: Eukaryota; Fungi
Description: sequence contains ITS1
Source: RNAcentral